Molecule: long non-coding RNA, 324 nt
Organism: Fundulus heteroclitus (mummichog)
Lineage: Eukaryota; Metazoa; Chordata; Actinopteri; Cyprinodontiformes; Fundulidae
Exons: 4
Source: RefSeq, a predicted model, not a curated record
AAAUUGAACUUCCUUUGACAUUGAGCGGGGAAGCCCAACCCAAUCAACUAUCUUUCGGAGGUGUUGUGAAAGCAGAAACUGCAAUGAAGACAGAAGAAGAGGCUGGAAGUUUGAUUAACUUUACUUUUAGGAUAAACAACUUGUGGAAGCCUUUGGCCCAUCCUCUCAAUGCCUCGCUGCACAUUAAGUGGCCCAAAUACAAUAAAGAUGGGAAAUGGCUUCUUUACCUGGUGAAGGUCACAUCUCAUGGACAGGAGAACGUCGUCUGCUUGCCUCAAUCUGAAAUCCACUCGCUCAAAAGCAUUUGGGAGAGUUCUCCAUCAC